AUUGAACGCUGGCGGCAGGCCUAACACAUGCAAGUCGAACGGUAACAGGAAGCAGCUUGCUGCUUCGCUGACGAGUGGCGGACGGGUGAGUAAUGUCUGAAGCUGCCUGAUGGAGGGGGAUAACUACUGGAAACGGUAGCUAAUACCGCAUAAUGUCGCAAGACCAAAGAGGGGGACCUUCGGGCCUCUUGCCAUCGGAUGUGCCCAGAUUGGAUUAGCUUGUUGGUGGGGUAACGGCUCACCAAGGCGACGAUCCCUAGCUGGUCUGAGAGGAUGACCAGCCACACUGGGACUGAGACACGGUCCAGACUCCUACGGGAGGCAGCAGUGGGGAAUAUUGCACAAUGGGCGCAAGCCUGAUGCAGCCAUGCCGCGUGUAUGAAGAAGGCCUUCGGGUUGUAAAGUACUUUCAGCGGGGAGGAAGGGAGUAAAGUUAAUACCUUUGCUCAUUGACGUUACCCGCAGAAGAAGCACCGGCUAACUCCGUG
This 488-nucleotide ribosomal RNA is filed under the name uncultured bacterium. Its description in RNAcentral is "partial 16S ribosomal RNA". It matches the Rfam family "Bacterial small subunit ribosomal RNA", at positions 30 to 507 of the family's 1533-position model. The record is from RNAcentral.